ACCUGGCUGGCUCAGUCGGCAGAGUAUGUGACUCUUGAUCUCAGGGUCAUGAGUUCAAGCCCCAUGCUAGGUG
Molecule: non-coding RNA, 73 nt
Organism: Mustela putorius furo (domestic ferret)
Lineage: Eukaryota; Metazoa; Chordata; Mammalia; Carnivora; Mustelidae
Source: Rfam